AACCCAUGGUGAAGGCACCAUCUCAACAAGUCCUUAUAUCUCUCCCAUGCAUCGUAGAGUGUUUCUAGAUCCAUCUGCAUAAAAGAGGAGAUAUCAUUACGUAAUUU
Molecule: non-coding RNA, 107 nt
Organism: Gossypium hirsutum (cotton)
Lineage: Eukaryota; Viridiplantae; Streptophyta; Magnoliopsida; Malvales; Malvaceae
Source: Rfam